RNAcentral lists this ribosomal RNA (274 nucleotides) under Bacillus subtilis. RNAcentral's name for it is "partial 16S ribosomal RNA". It matches the Rfam family "Bacterial small subunit ribosomal RNA", at positions 1097 to 1372 of the family's 1533-position model. The record is from RNAcentral. Lineage: Bacteria; Bacillati; Bacillota; Bacilli; Caryophanales; Bacillaceae.
CGCAACCCUUGAUCUUAGUUGCCAGCAUUCAGUUGGGCACUCUAAGGUGACUGCCGGUGACAAACCGGAGGAAGGUGGGGAUGACGUCAAAUCAUCAUGCCCCUUAUGACCUGGGCUACACACGUGCUACAAUGGACAGAACAAAGGGCAGCGAAACCGCGAGGUUAAGCCAAUCCCACAAAUCUGUUCUCAGUUCGGAUCGCAGUCUGCAACUCGACUGCGUGAAGCUGGAAUCGCUAGUAAUCGCGGAUCAGCAUGCCGCGGUGAAUACGUU